Molecule: RNA transcript, 6260 nt
Organism: Trachemys scripta elegans
Lineage: Eukaryota; Metazoa; Chordata; Testudines; Emydidae
Exons: 25
Source: RefSeq, a predicted model, not a curated record
UAAUGUUUGUCCAGUGCUUUGAAUCAGAGCACUAUAUGUGCAAAGUAUUAUAAUUUUUUUUAUUAUUAUUAAUAGGGUUAAACUCUCGUUUGAAGCUCUGUAAAGGUUUAAAUAUUUAUUGGGGUUUGUAUUGUGGUGGUGGGGUUCAGAUUUUUGUGAUUUGGAUCUUUGAAGAAUGGUCCAGUGGUUAGGGUGCCAGCCUGGGACUCAGCAGAUCUAGAGUCAAUUGCCGGCUCUGCCACAGACUUCCUGUAUGAUCUUGGGCAAGUCACUUAGUGCUUGUGUACACAGGGAGUUAUUCUGGAAUAGCUGUUCCUGAUUAACUCCAUGUGUGGAUGUUCUUAUUUCAGAAUAAAAGCAUCUGCACAUGGAGUUAAUCAAGAAUCUGCUUUAAAUUCACAUUACAGAUUUAUUUUCAUGUGUAGACUAACUCUUAGUCUUUCUUUCUGUGCCUCGUUUCUUGAGUGAUGAUAAUACUUCCCUGUCUCAGAGGGGUGUUGUGAAGAUAAAAACAUUAAAGAUGCUUAGAUACUAUGGUAAUGGAGGCCACAUAAGUAUCUGAAAGAGAGAGAUAAAGGCAUUUGAGUUGGUACCUAAUGCUAUUUUGAUUAAAAAAAAAAAUAGAAAGAUAUAAAAUGAACAUGGCACACAUUAAAUGGAUUAAAAGUUGGCUAACUCAACAUAUAUUUGUAAAUGGGGAAUCAUCUUAGUAUGGCUGUGUUUCUAGUGGGGUCCCUCAGGGACUGGUUCUUGGCCCUAUGUUAUUUAACAUUUUUAUUAAUGACCUGGAAGAAAGCAUAACAUUAUCACCGAUAAAGAUUGCAGAUGACACCAUUCCCCCAAUUUUUGUAAAUAAUAAAGAGGACAGAUCACUGAUACUGAGUGAUCUGGAUCGCUUGGUAAACUGAGCGCAAUACUGUUUCUCACUUUGACAAUUAAAGCAGAAAUUAAGGUGUGCAUCUUGCAAAGUGACCUCUGUGGGCACCCCCCUUUGUCCAUGUGGUGCAUCCCUGAAGGACUGGGGCCUACAGUGAUUAAUACACAGCGAUCCUGAAUCCCAGGUCCCUAUUUUAAAAAUAAAUGUUUCUCAGUUGUAAAAGUGCAACAUAAUAGAAAUGUAAUAUAUUGGUUUUAUAUGCAAAACUAUUACAGAGAAAAUGCUUUUGGAUCUGAGAAUGUGUCUCUCAGUUUUCAGCCCAAAGGGACUUUUUUAUACAAAAGUUUAUAAAAACUUUUAAAUUAAUUAUUUCAGUACAACUUAAAGACAGAACCCUAAUUCAGUAGCUCCUCUCUCGUUUCUCUUAAUUAAAGCCCCAAUCCUUCUGACUCAUACUUAACUUUAAACAGUGAAUUAUCCUAUUGACUUCAAUGAGUUACACAGUGUGUAAAGUUAAGCACAUGUAUUAAUCUUUGUAGGAUCAGGGCCUGAGUCAUUAAAAUAAUAGAGUAGGUGCUAUUUAAAAACUUCAGCAUUUAUAUCUCCUUGUGGUAAUUGAGAAUAAUAUAUAUGGUACUGCAGUUAGUGCAGAACAGUAAAUGCUGAAUUUUAAAUUGCACUCAUUGUACUAAUGAUACUUUUAUGUAUAUAAACACUUUACAACCUAAAAGUGUACACAGAUAUUAAUGUAUUCAUCAGGCAUUAAUCUGCCAUUACUUAGUGAUAUAGUCUAUACAACAUUCUUACCUGAACGAGAGUGUCUUUUAGUACACUAUGCCCCAUUUAAGCACCUGAGGCUUGAUUUUAAAUGGUGCUGAGCACCCACAGAUCCCAUUGAGUUUUGGCUGGUCAACACUUGUGAAAAUCACAUCCUUCCGUGUGGACUUUGCAUAGGGCCUUGUGUGGUAUGGAUUGGGAGGGGGAAAUUAUCCCAAAGUCUUCUAGAAGCUAUGGGCCAGUUCCUAUUGAAGGUUAAUGCGGAUUUGCUUCAACAUGAAUUUGGACAAAAGAGUAAAUGAUUUAUAAAAUUGUACAAAGGUGCUAAUGUAAGUUAGUGAUGCUACAGGAACUCUGUGUCUUUAUUGGUCUGAUCUUGUAUGUCCUCCAUACACUGGACUUUUAGUGGGAAUUCAGUAUGGAUUGAGCACUGUGCACCCAGCUCCUCUGUAAUUUCUGUUACUAUUAAAAUAUGUAAUUUAGUUCAGAAUAAAAAGUUUUAAAUGGCUGCUGGAAUGAUGAUUGGAAAAAUGUCAUCACAGAGAAGAAAUAACUUUCUUAAAUAAUAUUUCUAGCUAGAUUGUAACAUAUAUGUUAAUGAUUUUCCCUGACUGAGGUUUUUCAGCAUCAUAUAAUUAAGAAGUUCUGCAUAAAGCUGACGAGCACAUAAGGAAAUCUGUGUCUGAUGAAAAUAUCACAUGAAAUGGAUAAAGUUGGAGGAACAUCUGGACAUGCAAGGAUAAGAUUAUGUAGAAACCAUCAGACUUUAGAUGUAUCUUGGUUAAAUUCUAGCCUACAAGAGACAUUAUUACCAGGAAAACCAUGGCAUAAGGUUUUAGACAAACUUGGAGCUGCUCUUGCUGAUGACGUGAAGCAGCAACUAAGAAAUCCUGAACAACGACAAAUGGUUUUCUGUCUUCUUGGCCAGCAUUUUGUUAAAAAAUAUUUUAAUGAGUGUCCUAAUCAACCUAGUCUACUAUCUUCCACAAACAUGAGUGAGAUAGAUCAGAAGAAGUUGGAAGAAGAUACAAGGAUUUGGCUGAAGCAACAGUGCUUAAAAGCUGCAGAACGCAUUAGCUGUCAGUUCAGACUUGAUAAUAACUCUGACAGACUGGCUCCCGAAAUGGUGCAUUUUCUUAAUGAUACCUACAACAUAGUAGCAGCAGAGAUGGAAUUGUUAUUGGCUACACAUGAGGCAUGGAAAAAGGCAGAAGAUUCACAUAAGGAUCUACCUUCAUCGGAGUGGAAUUCUGAUCCGACAUCAGUAGCUAAAAAAAGGCCAAAUUCUGUUGAAAACAAAGACCUCAAUUUAGCCAUAUACGGAGGAUCUGUUUUCCAAUUAAAUGAAAAAGACAAGAUGCACAUUGGUUCUGAGAUACCCUCACCUAUUCUAAAUUGCUCAGCAAGUGAUAUACUGGGAGACUCAAUCUGUGCCAUAAUCUCAUUAGAUUAUGAUAGUAUGUUAACUGUGUGUGAAAGGCUAAGUGGAAAAUUACUUCCAAAGACACUUCGACAGUUUAUCUGGACUGAUAAACUUCUAAAAGCGGAUGCAAAAGUUGACAAGUUUGAAAGAAUAGCAAUUCUCGAAAGAGAAGCUAGAGUGAAGUUUGGACGAACAGUGGCACACCGAAUUGCUAAACUGAAAAUUAGAAGUGCCACCCGAUCACCAAUUUCAGGCCUUAUUGAAAAUGCAGUUGUGGAGAAAUAUGAAAAGACACCCUGCAUGCGUUCUUUUGCCACAAAUGAACAAAUGAUUUCAGAGACCAGCAAAACCUUAAAUGUCCUCUAUGUUUUCAAUGGCACAUAUGAACCCUACCUAAUCUAUUGGCUUUUUCCUUUGCAAAUGGCAUUUAAGCAAAUAAUGCCUACAGGUGAACAUCCCUAUGAAUUGGCUAUGUACCUACAUUUCCUACAUCAAAACUUAUUCCCAUCAUGGACAGAGAUCUUUGCAAUGGCUGAGUGGAUGAUGAGCCUUCUGGAGAGCGAGGACAUUGAAUUCUUCACUCAUCUUCAACAGUGUUUCGGAAAGAAUUUUGCAGUUGACCCAAAAGAUUUCCUGGUGGAGUUGAUAGUUCGAGAAAGAGAGAGAGGUCAAGAACUCUACACAGCAACAGACAGAUCUGAGCAAAACAAACAUCUAACCAAGGAAUUACUGGCAAGCCCAGUCAUUUUCCUCAGAAAGUGGAUGGGUGAAGGCUUUGUGAGUAUACUGGAUUUUCCUGCAGUGUUGUUGAUUUGGGAUCAAUUGUACAUGCAAGAUUGGAAUCAAAAGGUGAUGGAGAAUUUCUGCCUCUCAAUCCUUAUGCUGUUAAAGGAUUCACUAAUGGCUGCCAAUGAUUAUCCAGCUAUAAGAGAGGUGUUUUUGUUCUAUGGUUGUCAUCUUCUUACAGCUGAUAUUCAGAGGGCCUGGAUUCAUCUUCAGCAAGGUGGUUUACCAUCUGACAUCCCUGGGCUUAGCAGGCAGAAUCAAAGGCCACUUGCUGAUCUGUCUCCAAGGCUCAGUUCAAUGGAAGCUGGAAAGGUUUCUCUUGGCUUCCAGGACAUCUUGCCAGUUGAAGUGAAGGAUGUUUUACUGAAGCUAGUUUUACCAGUACCACAGGUUGAGAUAUCACACACUGAAACUUGGUUGAAAGAGUUUGACCCUCUUGCUGUGGAGUUAACGGUUUCAGUAUUUUAUGGCCUUGAAAAACUGUGUUCCAAGACUAGCUCUUUUAAACCCUCUCUUGUACAGAAAACCAAAGGGAAAACAGCAAAUAAAAGUGAAACCACUGAAUUUACUGUUCAGUUCAAUGAAACAUUUGCCUUUGAUUCUCUGGAUCCAUCUGAGUUUAUAAAUAUGGCAGAAGCUAAACCCUAUAUUGUAUUACAAGUAGUUUACAAGUCUAAAGGCAAAGACUCACUGACUCUUGGAUGGCAAAUGGUGGAUGUAUUUCAGCAAGAAACUACAAAUAUUAAAGCUAUCUGGACACCUAAAGAGUUUUCUACACUUGUUCCACUGCAUCCUGGGAAACUUCCUUAUAACAUUAUGGAUUAUACUUUGAAGCAUGUCUCAAAAGACUUGGCCUGGGGUCAUUCAAGUAUCCAGUUAACUGUUUAUGAUACAUCCCAGGAAAGACAUAGACAGAGAAACAGACAAAUGAGAAGAAAAAGGCUUCAAGAAUCUGACUUUCUCUAUGUACCUUGGAUUCCAUAUAAUUCCUCUACCAUAUUACCAAGUCCUACAUCAUUAAACUGUCCAUUGGAUCUAUAUAUAGAUGCACUCCAUUAUAUCCCUGAUAAUGCAACAAUAACAAAGGUAACAGGGCAAAUCAAGAAUUCAGGGCUGAAUAGCUUGCCUGAUAUUAUGGCAUUUCCACUUCCUAAUAGUUCAUCUCGAAAUCCAGAAUUCCAGUACCGAAUGGUCUUAAAUGGAGAUGAUCCAAAAGUAAUGGAUAUCAAGACAUGUGUUCUUCUUCAAGUUUAUACAGUGGAUGUAGAUUCUGGAGACCUUGUUAUAAUAGGAAACUCUGUGAUACGUGUGUUUAAUGAUGAUGGGAAGCUAAACGUAGGAGGAUUUCAAUUAAGACUGAGAGGAGGGAUGCCAACGAAGGAACCAGCAGCUUUUACACCAUCUGCAUUAAAUCCGUAUCCAGCCAUUCCCUGCUGCACUAUACUACUUCGAUUGUUACCACACACUCAGUUUUCAGUGCCUGCACCAAGCUACUUGAUGGGAUAUUACUUCUCAAAUGAUGCUAAGCCCAAUAAUUCAGAGCUAGAGGUUAUAUCCAGCUUUCAAAAGGACAACAGCUUCCCAAAACUUGUACAAGACAUGGCAAUACAUUUAAUUAACAAAGAACAAAGCAAAGUUACACUUGAUCAUUUGGAAGCCUGGUAUGUGGAAAGGUUGGAUGAAAAAAAGACAUUCACGACCAGAACACUUUCCAAAAUAUAUCAAUAUACAUCACGCAGUUCGCUAUCGGCAGGAAGUAGGCAUCCGGAUAAAGGUCAAACAAGCCUUUGGACUUAAAGCUGGUGGAUAUUAUGUAAAUGUGUUAGCCAGAGUCCUUAAGGGAGCUACAAGCAUGCAUUUGCCUGAGUUACCUCAACAAUGGGCAGGAGAAGAAAAAUUUCUAACAAGCCAACUUGACUUUACAAGUCUACAGAGCUCACCACGGUGGACGGAUCCAUCUGUGGACCAAGGCACCAGCAUAUACCCAUACCAAGGCCAACUGCUGUUAAGUACUGAACAGGGGUAAUGGAUAUAGUUUGUCCACCAUUUACUGGGAUUUGAAUUCCAUGGAUCCACUAUAUGCAUGUACCCACUGGCCUCUCCCAGGUUUGUGGGAGAGACGUACAUUUCCUCCCUUUAGAGAUUUGCAGUGGAAAUUGCUUCUACAGUACACAGCAGUUGUGAUGUGCUCCUGUGCAGAUUCUCUACAAUCUAGACCAACCAGUACAGCUGAAACUCAUUGUUUUCACUGUCUCUGGGCAUUGAGUUAAAGGAAUAAUCAUACAUUUUAAAUAUUAAACAGCAGAGUUUUUCUUUAAAAUUAGUUUAACAAUAAAACUGAGUUACAGUCUCUGGCAUUGCAUUCUGAGACUGCUGGCAAUGCCAGGAGAAGGCUCA